UACGUAGGGUGCGAGCGUUGCCCGGAUUUAUUGGUCGUAAAGGGCGCGUAGGCGGCCACGCACGUCCGUUGUGAAAUCGCCCGGCUCAACUGGGCGGGGUCAGCGGAUACGGUGUGGCUCGAGCAAGCUAGGGGGCAAUGGAAUUCCCGGUGUAGUGGUGGAAUGCGUAGAUAUCGGGAGGAACACCAGUGGCGAAGGCGGUUGCCUGGAGCUUUGCUGACGCUGAGGCGCGAAAGCUAGGGGAGCAAACGGG
Molecule: ribosomal RNA, 253 nt
Filed under: uncultured bacterium
Lineage: Bacteria
Description: partial 16S ribosomal RNA
Rfam family: Bacterial small subunit ribosomal RNA
Source: RNAcentral